Molecule: ribosomal RNA, 119 nt
Filed under: Pteropus alecto (black flying fox)
Lineage: Eukaryota; Metazoa; Chordata; Mammalia; Chiroptera; Pteropodidae
Source: RNAcentral
GUCUACAGCCAUGCUACCCUGAACAAGCCCAAUCCCGUCUGAUCUCAGAAGCUAAGCAGGGUCGGGCCUGGUUAGUACUCAGAUGGGAGACCACCUAGGAAGAUCAGGUGCUGUAGGCG